GAAUUUUAUAUAAAUUAUUUAAAGUUUGGAUUAAAUUUAUAAAUAAUUUUAUAUUUAGUUGGGAGGAUUAUUAAAUAAUAAAAACUUUAAUAUAUUUAAAACUUAAAUUAAAGAAUUAGAUAAAAGAGUUAUAUAAUUAUUAUAUUAGAUUAAAUUACCUUAGGGAUAACAGCGUUAUAUUUUUAGAAAGAUCAUAUUAAUAAAAAUAAUUGC
RNAcentral lists this ribosomal RNA (213 nucleotides) under Apterostigma chocoense. RNAcentral describes it as "partial large subunit ribosomal RNA". The record is from RNAcentral. Lineage: Eukaryota; Metazoa; Arthropoda; Insecta; Hymenoptera; Formicidae.